CAUAAAGAAGACUGAACUCAAGUCACGAUGAAGAUCCUCCUCAUCUUCUUCACUUUCUACCUGAUCUCAGGUGCAGUGAAAGACAUUGACGUGACUGGGUAUUCUGGAAGAAGCAUUCAUGUUGAUUCACACGAGUCUUGGUUCAAUUCUUCUGCUAAACACAUGAACAAACUUAUGAUCUACAUCAGAGAUUUAAAUCAACAUGAUGCUGGAAGAUACCAGAUUAGCGUUGAAGGCAAAUGGUCCAUCGAUAUGACUUUGAAAGUGGAAGAAGGUCAGUUAUUUUAAGAUCAAAUUCUUAAGAUCAAAAGUGUAGUAAAACAACUGAUCAUUUCAAAACUUUUAAUGUUUGUGAAAUCUAUUUCUUUAAUUUUGUGAA
Molecule: long non-coding RNA, 379 nt
Filed under: Sinocyclocheilus grahami
Lineage: Eukaryota; Metazoa; Chordata; Actinopteri; Cypriniformes; Cyprinidae
Description: lncRNA (ENSSGRG00000019361.1)
Source: RNAcentral